This 295-nucleotide long non-coding RNA is filed under the name Homo sapiens (human). Its description in RNAcentral is "HSALNT0363325". The record is from RNAcentral. Lineage: Eukaryota; Metazoa; Chordata; Mammalia; Primates; Hominidae.
AGGCAUUGAGGCAGCCAGCGCAGGGGCUUCUGCUGAGGGGGCAGGCGGAGCUUGAGGAAACCGCAGAUAAGUUUUUUUCUCUUUGAAAGAUAGAGAUUAAUACAACUACUUAAAAAAUAUAGUCAAUAGGUUACUAAGAUAUUGCUUAGCGUUAAGUUUUUAACGUAAUUUUAAUAGCUUAAGAUUUUAAGAGAAAAUAUGAAGACUUAGAAGAGUAGCAUGAGGAAGGAAAAGAUAAAAGGUUUCUAAAACAUGACGGAGGUUGAGAUGAAGCUUCUUCAUGGAGUAAAAAAUG